This 404-nucleotide ribosomal RNA is filed under the name uncultured bacterium. Its description in RNAcentral is "partial 16S ribosomal RNA". It matches the Rfam family "Bacterial small subunit ribosomal RNA", at positions 28 to 526 of the family's 1533-position model. The record is from RNAcentral.
GACGAACGCUGGCGGCGUGCUUAACACAUGCAAGUAGCACGAAGUGACGAACGGGUGAGUAAUACGUGGGUAACUGCCCUCCUUUUUGGGAUAAACCUUUGAAACGGGGUCUAAUACCGCAUAACGGGGGAUGAAUCGCGUACUAUCAGCUUUGGGGUGGGGUAUGGGCCUAACAAGGCGACGACGGGUGGCCGGCCUGAGAGGGCGGACGGCCACAUUGGGCUGGGAUACGGCCCGAACUCAUACGGGAUGCAGCAGUGGGGAAUAUUGCAAAAUGGGGGAAACCCUGAUGCAGCAACGCGCGUGCUGGAUGACGGUCUUCGUGUUGUAACCCGCUUUCAGCCAGGACGCGGUAGUGGCAGAAGAAGCACCGGCUAACGACGUGCCAGCAGCCGCGGUAAUUC